UAGUCCACGCCGUAAACGAUGUCUACUAGCCGUUGGAGUCCUUGAGGCUUUAGUGGCGCAGCUAACGCGAUAAGUAGACCGCCUGGGGAGUACGGCCGCAAGGUUAAAACUCAAAAUGAAUUGACGGGGGCCCGCACAAGCGGUGGAGCAUGUGGUUUAAUUCGAUGCAACGCGAAGAACCUUACCAGGUCUUGACAUCCAGAGAACUUUCUAGAGAUAGAUUGGUGCCUUCGGGGAGCUCUGUGACAGGUGCUGCAUGGCUGUCGUCAGCUCGUGUCGUGAGAUGUUGGGUUAAGUCCCGUAACGAGCGCAACCCUUGUCCUUAUUUGCCAGCACGUAAUGGUGGGAACUCUAAGGAGACUGCCGGUGACAAACCGGGAGGAAGGUGGGGACGACGUCAAGUCAUCAUGGCCCUUACGACCUGGGCUACACACGUGCUACAAUGGAUCGUACAGAGGGUUGCCAAGCCGCGAGGUGGAGGCUAAUCCCUUAAAACGGUUCGUAGUCCGGA
This 511-nucleotide ribosomal RNA is filed under the name uncultured bacterium. RNAcentral describes it as "bacterial SSU rRNA". It matches the Rfam family "Bacterial small subunit ribosomal RNA", at positions 791 to 1297 of the family's 1533-position model. The record is from RNAcentral.